Molecule: transfer RNA, 48 nt
Filed under: Notamacropus
Lineage: Eukaryota; Metazoa; Chordata; Mammalia; Diprotodontia; Macropodidae
Description: partial tRNA-Gly
Source: RNAcentral
ACUACUGAUUUCCAAUCAUUAAGUUCUGGGUAACGCCAGAGAAAAAUA